RNAcentral lists this ribosomal RNA (559 nucleotides) under Streptomyces parvus. RNAcentral's name for it is "bacterial SSU rRNA". It matches the Rfam family "Bacterial small subunit ribosomal RNA", at positions 88 to 661 of the family's 1533-position model. The record is from RNAcentral. Lineage: Bacteria; Bacillati; Actinomycetota; Actinomycetes; Kitasatosporales; Streptomycetaceae.
UGGAUUAGUGGCGAACGGGUGAGUAACACGUGGGCAAUCUGCCCUUCACUCUGGGACAAGCCCUGGAAACGGGGUCUAAUACCGGAUAACACUCUGUCCCGCAUGGGACGGGGUUGAAAGCUCCGGCGGUGAAGGAUGAGCCCGCGGCCUAUCAGCUUGUUGGUGGGGUAAUGGCCUACCAAGGCGACGACGGGUAGCCGGCCUGAGAGGGCGACCGGCCACACUGGGACUGAGACACGGCCCAGACUCCUACGGGAGGCAGCAGUGGGGAAUAUUGCACAAUGGGCGAAAGCCUGAUGCAGCGACGCCGCGUGAGGGAUGACGGCCUUCGGGUUGUAAACCUCUUUCAGCAGGGAAGAAGCGAAAGUGACGGUACCUGCAGAAGAAGCGCCGGCUAACUACGUGCCAGCAGCCGCGGUAAUACGUAGGGCGCAAGCGUUGUCCGGAAUUAUUGGGCGUAAAGAGCUCGUAGGCGGCUUGUCACGUCGGAUGUGAAAGCCCGGGGCUUAACCCCGGGUCUGCAUUCGAUACGGGCUAGCUAGAGUGUGGUAGGGGAGAU